GACGAACGCUGGCGGCGUGCUUAACACAUGCAAGUCGAACGGAAAGGCCCUGCUUUUGUGGGGUGCUCGAGUGGCGAACGGGUGAGUAACACGUGAGUAACCUGCCCUUGACUUUGGGAUAACUUCAGGAAACUGGGGCUAAUACCGGAUAGGAGCUCCUGCUGCAUGGUGGGGGUUGGAAAGUUUCGGCGGUUGGGGAUGGACUCGCGGCUUAUCAGCUUGUUGGUGGGGUAGGGGCUUACCAAGGCUUUGACGGGUAGCCGGCCUGAGAGGGUGACCGGCCACAUUGGGACUGAGAUACGGCCCGGACUCCUACGGGAGGCAGCGGUGGGGAAUAUGGCACAAUGGGCGGAAGCCUGAUGCAGCAACGCCGCGGGCGGGAUGACGGCCUUCGGGUUGUAAACCGCUUUCACCUGUGACGAAGCGUGAGUGACGGUAAUGGGUAAAGAAGCACCGGCUAACUACGUG
RNAcentral lists this ribosomal RNA (468 nucleotides) under uncultured bacterium. RNAcentral describes it as "partial 16S ribosomal RNA". It matches the Rfam family "Bacterial small subunit ribosomal RNA", at positions 28 to 507 of the family's 1533-position model. The record is from RNAcentral.